RNAcentral lists this ribosomal RNA (399 nucleotides) under grassland soil clone saf2_420. RNAcentral describes it as "bacterial SSU rRNA". It matches the Rfam family "Bacterial small subunit ribosomal RNA", at positions 50 to 495 of the family's 1533-position model. The record is from RNAcentral.
AAUACAUGCAAGUCGAACGAACACUUCGGUGUUAGUGGCGCACGGGUGCGUAACGCGUGGGAAUCUACCCUUGGGUUCGGAAUAACAGUUGGAAACGACUGCUAAUACCGGAUGAUGACGUAAGUCCAAAGAUUUAUCGCCCAAGGAUGAGCCCGCGUAGGAUUAGGUAGUUGGUGAGGUAAAGGCUCACCAAGCCUACGAUCCUUAGCUGGUCUGAGAGGAUGAUCAGCCACACUGGGACUGAGACACGGCCCAGACUCCUACGGGAGGCAGCAGUAGGGAAUAUUGGACAAUGGGGGCAACCCUGAUCCAGCAAUGCCGCGUGAGCGAUGAAGGCCUUAGGGUUGUAAAGCUCUUUUACCCGAGAUGAUAAUGACAGUAUCGGGAGAAUAAGCCCCG